AGUGAACGCUGGCGGUAGGCCUAACACAUGCAAGUCGAACGGCAGCACAGUAAGAGCUUGCUCUUACGGGUGGCGAGUGGCGGACGGGUGAGGAAUACAUCGGAAUCUACUUUAUCGUGGGGGAUAACGUAGGGAAACUUACGCUAAUACCGCAUACGACCUACGGGUGAAAGCAGGGGAUCUUCGGACCUUGCGCGAUUGAAUGAGCCGAUGUCGGAUUAGCUAGUUGGCGGGGUAAAGGCCCACCAAGGCGACUAUCCGUAGCUGGUCUGAGGGGAUGAUCAGCCACACUGGAACUGAGACAAGGUCCAGACUCCUACGGGAGGCAGCAGUGGGGAAUAUUGGACAAUGGGGGCAAGCCUGAUCCAGCCAUACCGCGUGGGUGAAGAAGGCCUUCGGGUUGUAAAGCCCUUUUGUUGGGAAAGAAAAGCAGCAGGUUAAUACCCCGCUGUUCUGACGGUACCCAAAGAAUAAGCACCGGCAAACUUCGUG
RNAcentral lists this ribosomal RNA (492 nucleotides) under uncultured bacterium. RNAcentral's name for it is "partial 16S ribosomal RNA". It matches the Rfam family "Bacterial small subunit ribosomal RNA", at positions 29 to 507 of the family's 1533-position model. The record is from RNAcentral.